AGCAGACAUUCACGGAAAACCUGUUCCUGGGCCCUCCCAGGUGCCGGGUGCUGAGUUGGCUGCCAGCCCCAAGGAGCAGGGAGCUAAGACUCACACAGCGCUCUGAUCCAGGAGGAACGUGGCUAAACUCCCAGCAGGGGCUGUCUCAUUCAAGGGGACGCCCAGUGCGAAGGUUUCUGCUGUGACGCCCAUGCCUGCGGGGAGCUCAGCAGGGCACAGCUGGAGUGUCCUUCCAGAAACCCGUCUGCAGGUCGUGGCACCACCUUAUCUCCAAGUGUGUUUGUGGACACAGUCAUGGAGAGACGCUGGCUGAAGGAUGAGAAGACCCGUGUGAAGCAGACUGUGGCAUGUGUCUCGUCACCGCCCUCCCCGCAGCGUCUGACAGAUCCACAUAUGCGUAACAGGGUCUGUGGAGGUCCAUGAGCACCACAGUCAUGUGGCAUUGCACAGGGCACUGCAUGGCUUUCUGUGUUCAAAGCCCCAGGGGAUUAAUACAAACACAUAAAAUGUAACAUGAUUUUUAUAACCUUGGUUUGGAAUCUGUUUUGUUUCUCUCUUUUUUAUUUUUUUAAUGUGAGAGGGACCUCAAAAGAACGCAAGGGGCCUGGACCUUUCCCAGGGUUCGAGAAGCAGCACAGCAGAACUCCAAAUCACAGGGUCUGUUUGUGGGGUGGCUGAGAAAUCAUAGUCCUUGAAGGUGCCCUGUGAU
This is a long non-coding RNA of Loxodonta africana (African savanna elephant), 709 nucleotides long. RefSeq lists it as uncharacterized. NCBI's taxonomy places the organism in Eukaryota, Metazoa, Chordata, Mammalia, Proboscidea, Elephantidae. The transcript is spliced from 3 exons. The record is from RefSeq and is a predicted model, not a curated record.